ACUUGUAUCGGCAAGUAUAAAAAGACAUUAAGCCGAUAGCGUCCACUCUGUUUAAACGGGGUGGGGUUGUA
Molecule: ribozyme, 71 nt
Filed under: unclassified sequences
Description: pistol ribozyme
Rfam family: Pistol ribozyme
Source: RNAcentral